RNAcentral lists this long non-coding RNA (972 nucleotides) under Setaria viridis. RNAcentral's name for it is "long non-coding RNA (SVIR_LNC004269)". The record is from RNAcentral. Lineage: Eukaryota; Viridiplantae; Streptophyta; Magnoliopsida; Poales; Poaceae.
GGACUUCGGCUUCGACCCCCUGGGCCUCGCCACCGUUCCGGAGAACUUCGAGCGGUUCAAGGAGUCCGAGGUCUACCACUGCCGCUGGGCCAUGCUCGCCGUGGUACGCCGCUGUGCUGCCUCUCUGAUUACUUACGAUCAUGUCAUGAACUAUGGCAUGGACCUGACAGAUGAGCUUUGCAAUUGUGUGGCAUGCAGCCCGGGAUCUUGGUGCCUGAGGCGCUGGGCCUUGGCAACUGGGUGAAGGCGCAGGAGUGGGCGGCCGUCCCCGGCGGGCAGGCCACAUACCUGGGCAACCCGGUGCCGUGGGGCACGCUGCCCACCAUCCUGGUGAUCGAAUUCGUGGCCAUCGCCUUCGCCGAGCACCAGCGCACCAUGGAGAAGGACCCCGAGAAGAAGAAGUACCCCGGCGGCGCCUUCGACCCGCUCGGCUUCUCCAAGGACCCCGUCAAGUUCGAGGAGUACAAGCUCAAGGAGAUCAAGAACGGUGAGUCUCCUGGUUUUGUGUACUAUAUGAUCUCGUUGUUGUAGUGACAGCCUCCCACUCCAUUGAUCAUACGCUAACCACUGGGCAUCGUCUAAACGAUUGUGCAUGAUGAUGAGCAGGCCGGCUUGCGAUGUUGGCGUUCGUGGGGUUCUGCGUGCAGCAGUCGGCGUACCCCGGCACCGGGCCGCUGGAGAACCUGGCUACCCACCUCGCCGACCCGUGGCACAACAACAUCGGCGACAUCAUCAUCCCCAGAACGAUCUACCCUUGAGCUGAGAUGAUUGUGAGAGAAGAGGAUGAGACGAGACAGGAGAUGGGGCUGUGCUGGGAGUGUGGAUGAUGUUCUAUGUGUGUGAUUGGUUGGUUACUGGGCACUGCCUGCGUGCGUGCAGGAACUGUACAACGAACAACGACGGCGACUUUCCGGCCGGCCGGGAACCCCUUAUAAUGUAAAGCUUAUUAUUAUUAAGUAGCGGCUACCCUUA